GACGAACGCUGGCGGCGUGCUUAACACAUGCAAGUCGAACGGAAAGGCCCUGCUUUUGUGGGGUGCUCGAGUGGCGAACGGGUGAGUAACACGUGAGUAACCUGCCCUUGACUUUGGGAUAACUUCAGGAAACUGGGGCUAAUACCGGAUAGGAGCUCCUGCUGCAUGGUGGGGGUUGGAAAGUUUCGGCGGUUGGGGAUGGACUCGCGGCUUUCAGCUUGGUGGUGGGGUAGUGGCUUACCAAGGCUUUGACGGGUAGCCGGCCUGAGAGGGUGACCGGCCACAUUGGGACUGAGAUACGGCCCAGACUCCUACGGGAGGCAGCAGUGGGGAAUAUUGCACAAUGGGCGGAAGCCUGAUGCAGCAACGCCGCGUGCGGGAUGACGGCCUUCGGGUUGUAAACCGCUUUCGCCUGUGACGAAGCGUGAGUGACGGUAAUGGGUAAAGAAGCACCGGCUAACUACGUG
This 467-nucleotide ribosomal RNA is filed under the name uncultured bacterium. RNAcentral's name for it is "partial 16S ribosomal RNA". It matches the Rfam family "Bacterial small subunit ribosomal RNA", at positions 28 to 507 of the family's 1533-position model. The record is from RNAcentral.